ACAAUGAAGAGUUUGAUCCUGGCUCAGGAUGAACGCUAGCUACAGGCUUAACACAUGCAAGUCGAGGGGCAUCAGGAAGAAAGCUUGCUUUCUUUGCUGGCGACCGGCGCACGGGUGAGUAACACGUAUCCAACCUGCCCUUUACUCGGGGAUAGCCUUUCGAAAGAAAGAUUAAUACCCGAUGGGAUAAUCAUUCCGCAUGGUUUGAUUAUUAAAGGAUUCCGGUAAAGGAUGGGGAUGCGUUCCAUUAGGUUGUUGGUGAGGUAACGGCUCACCAAGCCUUCGAUGGAUAGGGGUUCUGAGAGGAAGGUCCCCCACAUUGGAACUGAGACACGGUCCAAACUCCUACGGGAGGCAGCAGUGAGGAAUAUUGGUCAAUGGGCGCGAGCCUGAACCAGCCAAGUAGCGUGAAGGAUGACUGCCCUAUGGGUUGUAAACUUCUUUUAUAUUAGAAUAAAGUGCAGUAUGUAUACUGUUUUGUAUGUAUAAUAUGAAUAAGGAUCGGCUAACUCCGUGCCAGCAGCCGCGGUAAUACGGAGGAUCCGAGCGUUAUCCGGAUUUAUUGGGUUUAAAGGGAGCGUAGGUGGACUGGUAAGUCAGUUGUGAAAGUUUGCGGCUCAACCGUAAAAUUGCAGUUGAUACUGUCAGUCUUGAGUACAGUAGAGGUGGGCGGAAUUCGUGGUGUAGCGGUGAAAUGCUUAGAUAUCACGAAGAACUCCGAUUGCGAAGGCAGCUCACUGGACUGCAACUGACACUGAUGCUCGAAAGUGUGGGUAUCAAACAGGAUUAGAUACCCUGGUAGUCCACACAGUAAACGAUGAAUACUCGCUGUUUGCGAUAUACAGUAAGCGGCCAAGCGAAAGCAUUAAGUAUUCCACCUGGGGAGUACGCCGGCAACGGUGAAACUCAAAGGAAUUGACGGGGGCCCGCACAAGCGGAGGAACAUGUGGUUUAAUUCGAUGAUACGCGAGGAACCUUACCCGGGCUUAAAUUGCAGUGGAAUGAUGUGGAAACAUGUCAGUGAGCAAUCACCGCUGUGAAGGUGCUGCAUGGUUGUCGUCAGCUCGUGCCGUGAGGUGUCGGCUUAAGUGCCAUAACGAGCGCAACCCUUAUCUUCAGUUACUAACAGGUCAUGCUGAGGACUCUGGAGAGACUGCCGUCGUAAGAUGUGAGGAAGGUGGGGAUGACGUCAAAUCAGCACGGCCCUUACGUCCGGGGCUACACACGUGUUACAAUGGGGGGUACAGAAGGCAGCUACCUGGUGACAGGAUGCUAAUCCCAAAAGCCUCUCUCAGUUCGGAUCGAAGUCUGCAACCCGACUUCGUGAAGCUGGAUUCGCUAGUAAUCGCGCAUCAGCCACGGCGCGGUGAAUACGUUCCCGGGCCUUGUACACACCGCCCGUCAAGCCAUGGGAGCCGGGGGUACCUGAAGUACGUAACCGCAAGGAGCGUCCUAGGGUAAAACUGGUGACUGGGGCUAAGUCGUAACAAGGUAGCCGUACCGGAAGGUGCGGCUGGAACACCUCCUUU
Molecule: ribosomal RNA, 1529 nt
Filed under: Bacteroides fragilis
Lineage: Bacteria; Pseudomonadati; Bacteroidota; Bacteroidia; Bacteroidales; Bacteroidaceae
Also listed under: 2 other names
Description: 16S ribosomal RNA
Rfam family: Bacterial small subunit ribosomal RNA
Source: RNAcentral